CAGCCGCCGCGGGAAAACGAGGGGUGCAAGCGUUAUUCGGAUUGAUUGGGUGUAAAGGGUGUGCAGACGGCUUAUUAAGUCACUUGUUAAAUUCUUCGGCCUAACUGAAGGUCUGCAAGUGAUACUGAUGAGCUAGAGGGUGGAAGAGAGAAGUGGAAUUCUCGGAGUAGCGGUAAAAUGCGUAGAUCUCGAGAGGAACACCAAUGGCGAAGGCAGCUUCUUGGUCCAUUCCUGACGUUCAUACACGAAAGCGUGGGGAGCAGACAGGAUUAGAUACCCCAGUAGUCCCUGUCUCUUAUAC
Molecule: ribosomal RNA, 301 nt
Filed under: uncultured bacterium
Lineage: Bacteria
Description: partial 16S ribosomal RNA
Rfam family: Bacterial small subunit ribosomal RNA
Source: RNAcentral